UACGGAGGGUGCAAGCGUUAUCCGGAUUCACUGGGUUUAAAGGGUGCGUAGGAGGGCAGGUAAGUCAGUGGUGAAAUCUUCGAGCUUAACUCGGAAACUGCCGUUGAUACUAUCUGUCUUGAAUACCGUGGAGGUGAGCGGAAUAUGUCAUGUAGCGGUGAAAUGCUUAGAUAUGACAUAGAACACCAUUGCGAAGGCAGCUCGCUACACGAAUAUUGACUCUGAGGCACGAAAGCGUGGGGAUCAAACAGG
This 252-nucleotide ribosomal RNA is filed under the name uncultured bacterium. RNAcentral describes it as "partial 16S ribosomal RNA". It matches the Rfam family "Bacterial small subunit ribosomal RNA", at positions 524 to 776 of the family's 1533-position model. The record is from RNAcentral.